Molecule: transfer RNA, 96 nt
Filed under: bacterium
Lineage: Bacteria
Also listed under: 1 other name
Description: tRNA-Sec
Rfam family: Selenocysteine transfer RNA
Source: RNAcentral
GGGAAUGGAUGGGUCCCUGGUGGGCCCCGCGGGCUUCAAACCCGUUGUUCCGUGCUGAACAGUGCGGAAGGUGGGUUCGAUUCCCACACAUUCCCG